AGAGUUUGAUCCUGGCUCAGGAUAAACGCUGGCGGCGUGCCUAACACAUGCAAGUCGAACGUCCUUGAGAGGAAACUGUCAAGGGAGUGGCGGACGGGUGAGUAGCACGUGGGUAUCUACCUUGGGGUGAGGAAUACCGGCGAGAAAUCGCCGACAAGACCGCAUACGCUCGUGGAAACGCGAGUAAAGUCGCAAGACGC
Molecule: ribosomal RNA, 200 nt
Filed under: uncultured bacterium
Lineage: Bacteria
Description: partial 16S ribosomal RNA
Rfam family: Bacterial small subunit ribosomal RNA
Source: RNAcentral